RNAcentral lists this ribosomal RNA (495 nucleotides) under uncultured bacterium. RNAcentral describes it as "partial 16S ribosomal RNA". It matches the Rfam family "Bacterial small subunit ribosomal RNA", at positions 28 to 507 of the family's 1533-position model. The record is from RNAcentral.
GAUGAACGCUGGCGGCGUGCCUAAUACAUGCAAGUCGAACGCUGAAGGAGGAGCUUGCUCUUCUGGAUGAGUUGCGAACGGGUGAGUAACGCGUAGGUAACCUGCCUGGUAGCGGGGGAUAACUAUUGGAAACGAUAGCUAAUACCGCAUGACAACAGUUAUUGCAUGAUAACUGUUUAAAAGGGGCAACUGCUCCACUACCAGAUGGACCUGCGUUGUAUUAGCUAGUUGGUGAGGUAACGGCUCACCAAGGCGACGAUACGUAGCCGACCUGAGAGGGUGAUCGGCCACACUGGGACUGGGACACGGCCCAGACUCCUACGGGAGGCAGCAGUAGGGAAUCUUCGGCAAUGGACGGAAGGCUGACCGAGCAACGCCGCGUGAGUGAAGAAGGUUGUCGGAUCGUAAAGCUCUGUUGUAAGAGAAGAACGAGUGUGAGAGUGGAAAGUUCACACUGUGACGGUAGCUUACCAGAAAGGGACGGCUAACUACGUG